CGAACGCUGGCGGCAGGCCUAACACAUGCAAGUCGAGCGCGCCUUCGGGUGAGCGGCGGACGGGUUAGUAACGCGUGGGAACGUGCCCUUCUCUACGGAAUAGCCUCUGGAAACGGAGAGUAAUACCGCAUACGCCCUAUCGGGGGAAAGAUGGCCUCUUCUUGAAAGCUAUCGCUAUUUGGAGGAGCCUGCGUUGGAUUAGCUAGUUGGUGGGGUAAAGGCCUACCAAGGCGACGAUCCAUAGCUGGUCUGAGAGGACGAUCAGCCACACUGGGACUGAGACACGGCCCAGACUCCUACGGGAGGCAGCAGUGGGGAAUCUUAGACAAUGGGCGCAAGCCUGAUCUAGCCAUGCCGCGUGAGUGAUGAAGGCCUUAGGGUCGUAAAGCUCUUUCGCCUGUGAUGAUAAUGACAGUAGCAGGUAAAGAAACCCCGGCUAACUCCGUG
This 447-nucleotide ribosomal RNA is filed under the name uncultured bacterium. Its description in RNAcentral is "bacterial SSU rRNA". It matches the Rfam family "Bacterial small subunit ribosomal RNA", at positions 30 to 507 of the family's 1533-position model. The record is from RNAcentral.